Molecule: ribosomal RNA, 482 nt
Filed under: uncultured bacterium
Lineage: Bacteria
Description: bacterial SSU rRNA
Rfam family: Bacterial small subunit ribosomal RNA
Source: RNAcentral
AUUGAACGCUGGCGGCAUGCCUUACACAUGCAAGUCGAACGGUAACAGGUCUUCGGAUGCUGACGAGUGGCGAACGGGUGAGUAAUACAUCGGAACGUGCCCGAUCGUGGGGGAUAACGGAGCGAAAGCUUUGCUAAUACCGCAUACGAUCUACGGAUGAAAGCAGGGGACCGCAAGGCCUUGCGCGGACGGAGCGGCCGAUGGCAGAUUAGGUAGUUGGUGGGAUAAAAGCUUACCAAGCCGACGAUCUGUAGCUGGUCUGAGAGGACGACCAGCCACACUGGGACUGAGACACGGCCCAGACUCCUACGGGAGGCAGCAGUGGGGAAUUUUGGACAAUGGGCGCAAGCCUGAUCCAGCCAUGCCGCGUGCAGGAUGAAGGCCUUCGGGUUGUAAACUGCUUUUGUACGGAACGAAAAGACUCCUUCUAAUAAAGGGGGUCCAUGACGGUACCGUAAGAAUAAGCACCGGCUAACUACGUG